CAGAGCCCUCUCCAGCGACCUAGUCGAGCUUCCUGUCGAUUCUGAGCUAACGCCAUCUGUUGUUUGGAUUUUUUUCAGCUGUUCCUGCAACGUCAAGUCUGGCUGUAGUCCCGAGUUUCCCUUGCGACGCCGUCUGGACCCUAUUACCUGUCCGCCCUCCACCGCAGCACAACCUCCACCUCCAGCGCCUCCACACCUGGCCACGCCGUUGUUUAUUCUCCUCCCCGAAAGUCCUGACUUACCUGUCUGUCGCCGUCCCUUCGAUGACUGAGAGCCUACCCUGGAAAUCUUUUGUAAAUAAAUCACUUUAACUGAU
Long non-coding RNA from Xiphophorus hellerii (green swordtail), 316 nucleotides. RefSeq lists it as uncharacterized. NCBI's taxonomy places the organism in Eukaryota, Metazoa, Chordata, Actinopteri, Cyprinodontiformes, Poeciliidae. The transcript is spliced from 2 exons. The record is from RefSeq and is a predicted model, not a curated record.